GAUGAACGCUGGCGGCGUGCCUAAUACAUGCGAGUCGAGCGAACGGACGAGAAGCUUGCUUUUCUGAUGUUAGCGGCGGACGGGUGAGUAACACGUGGAUAACCUACCUAUAAGACUGGGAUAACUUCGGGAAACCGGAGCUAAUACCGGAUAAUAUUUUGAACCGCAUGGUUCAAAAGUGAAAGACGGUCUUGCUGUCACUUAUAGAUGGAUCCGCGCUGCAUUAGCUAGUUGGUAAGGUAACGGCUUACCAAGGCAACGAUGCAUAGCCGACCUGAGAGGGUGAUCGGCCACACUGGAACUGAGACACGGUCCAGACUCCUACGGGAGGCAGCAGUAGGGAAUCUUCCGCAAUGGGCGAAAGCCUGACGGAGCAACGCCGCGUGAGUGAUGAAGGUCUUCGGAUCGUAAAACUCUGUUAUUAGGGAAGAACAUAUGUGUAAGUAACUGUGCACAUCUUGACGUUACCUAAUCAGAAAGCCACGGCUAACUACGUG
This 497-nucleotide ribosomal RNA is filed under the name uncultured bacterium. RNAcentral describes it as "partial 16S ribosomal RNA". It matches the Rfam family "Bacterial small subunit ribosomal RNA", at positions 28 to 507 of the family's 1533-position model. The record is from RNAcentral.